UGGACAGUCCGGGAUCCCCCCUGAUUGUCACUUCCUUUCCCUCAUGGAUAUAGGUCAUUGUUAAAUUGCUCCAGUCCAGAGUCACCUUCCCCAGGGUAGCCAACCAUUCCACCCCCAUGAUCACGUCCACCCCUCCUAGUUCAAAUAAAUGUAAUCGCGUUGAAAUCUGAACAUCUUCAAUGCGGACUUGCACCCCUUCGCAGCACCCUCGGGUCUCCUUUCUCCACCCAUCACCUAGACUAACCAUGUAAGGUUGGUGUCUGUCGUGGUCAAC
RNAcentral lists this long non-coding RNA (274 nucleotides) under Vigna radiata. RNAcentral's name for it is "long non-coding RNA (VRAD_LNC000148)". Lineage: Eukaryota; Viridiplantae; Streptophyta; Magnoliopsida; Fabales; Fabaceae. The record is from RNAcentral.